RNAcentral lists this ribosomal RNA (751 nucleotides) under uncultured Peptostreptococcaceae bacterium. RNAcentral describes it as "bacterial SSU rRNA". It matches the Rfam family "Bacterial small subunit ribosomal RNA", at positions 28 to 776 of the family's 1533-position model. The record is from RNAcentral. Lineage: Bacteria; Bacillati; Bacillota; Clostridia; Peptostreptococcales; Peptostreptococcaceae.
GACGAACGCUGGCGGCGUGCCUGAUACAUGCAAGUCGAACGCUUCUUUCCUCCCGAGUGCUUGCACUCAAUUGGAAAGAGGAGUGGCGGACGGGUGAGUAACACGUGGGUAACCUACCCAUCAGAGGGGGAUAACACUUGGAAACAGGUGCUAAUACCGCAUAACAGUUUAUGCCGCAUGGCAUAAGAGUGAAAGGCGCUUUCGGGUGUCGCUGAUGGAUGGACCCGCGGUGCAUUAGCUAGUUGGUGAGGUAACGGCUCACCAAGGCCACGAUGCAUAGCCGACCUGAGAGGGUGAUCGGCCACAUUGGAACUGAGACACGGUCCAAACUCCUACGGGAGGCAGCAGUGGGGAAUAUUGCACAAUGGGCGAAAGCCUGAUGCAGCAACGCCGCGUGAGCGAUGAAGGCCUUCGGGUCGUAAAGCUCUGUCCUCAAGGAAGAUAAUGACGGUACUUGAGGAGGAAGCCCCGGCUAACUACGUGCCAGCAGCCGCGGUAAUACGUAGGGGGCUAGCGUUAUCCGGAAUUACUGGGCGUAAAGGGUGCGUAGGCGGUCUUUCAAGCCAGAAGUGAAAGGCUACGGCUCAACCGUAGUAAGCUUUUGGAACUGUAGGACUUGAGUGCAGGAGAGGAGAGUGGAAUUCCUAGUGUAGCGGUGAAAUGCGUAGAUAUUAGGAGGAACACCAGUAGCGAAGGCGGCUCUCUGGACUGUAACUGACGCUGAGGCACGAAAGCGUGGGGAGCAAACAGG